RNAcentral lists this long non-coding RNA (220 nucleotides) under Olea europaea (common olive). RNAcentral's name for it is "long non-coding RNA (OEUR_LNC007139)". The record is from RNAcentral. Lineage: Eukaryota; Viridiplantae; Streptophyta; Magnoliopsida; Lamiales; Oleaceae.
UCAAUACAAAGCCUUCUUUGUAAGCUCUUGUGUUCCUUCAUUGUCCCUUUCUUAAAGUGUUCUACUUAGUGCCUUUCUAAGACAUCAACGCCAAUCGGGAGGCUGACUUAGUGUAAUAACCGCGGGGGCGGAAGUUGAAGACACUAAGGCCGCACGGUUCUUGGAGGAAAUUAGCAAGUCCGUGACAGUUGGUAUCAGAGCCUAGGUUUGCUCACUUACU